RNAcentral lists this ribosomal RNA (632 nucleotides) under Flavobacterium sp. So2Pw_1404. RNAcentral's name for it is "bacterial SSU rRNA". It matches the Rfam family "Bacterial small subunit ribosomal RNA", at positions 382 to 1016 of the family's 1533-position model. The record is from RNAcentral. Lineage: Bacteria; Pseudomonadati; Bacteroidota; Flavobacteriia; Flavobacteriales; Flavobacteriaceae.
CCUGAUCCAGCCAUGCCGCGUGCAGGAUGACGGUCCUAUGGAUUGUAAACUGCUUUUAUACGAAAAAAAACACUGCUUCUUGAAGCCCUUGACGGUAUCGUAAGAAUAAGGAUCGGCUAACUCCCUGCCACCAGCCGCGGUAAUACCGAAGAUCCAAGCGUUAUCCGGAAUCAUUGGGUUUAAAGGGUCCGUAUGCGGUUUAAUAAGUCAGUGGUGAAAGCCCAUCGCUCAACGGUGGAACGGCCAUUGAUACUGUUAAACUUGAAUUAUUAGGAAGUAACUAGAAGAUGUAGUGUAGCGGUGAAAUGCUUAGAGAUUACCUGGAAUACCAAUUGCGAAGGCAGGUUACUACUAAUGGAUUGACGCUGAUGGACGAAAGCGUGGGUAGCGAACAGGAUUAGAUACCCUGGUAGUCCACGCCGUAAACGAUGGAUACUAGCUGUUGGAAGCAAUUUCAGUGGCUAAGCGAAAGUGAUAAGUAUCCCACCUGGGGAGUACGUUCGCAAGAAUGAAACUCAAAGGAAUUGACGGGGGCCCGCACAAGCGGUGGAGCAUGUGGUUUAAUUCGAUGAUACGCGAGGAACCUUACCAAGGCUUGAAUGUAGAUUGACCGAUUUGGAAACAGAUCUUUC